Molecule: long non-coding RNA, 192 nt
Organism: Octopus bimaculoides (California two-spot octopus)
Lineage: Eukaryota; Metazoa; Mollusca; Cephalopoda; Octopoda; Octopodidae
Source: RefSeq, a predicted model, not a curated record
AUAGAUAGAUAGAUAGAUAGAUAGAUAGAUAGAUAGAUAGACAGAUAGAUAGAUAUGUUUUUAUUAUAGCCACACAGGGCUGAACACAGAAAUUGGACGAAAUACAAGCGUAGAGUUUUUCAUUUUCGAGGUGGGCUGGGUGGGACACACAAAGAAAAGUCAAAUCAAUAGGGAUUGUAAUCGUUGGGGUGU